This 401-nucleotide ribosomal RNA is filed under the name uncultured bacterium. RNAcentral's name for it is "bacterial SSU rRNA". It matches the Rfam family "Bacterial small subunit ribosomal RNA", at positions 356 to 773 of the family's 1533-position model. The record is from RNAcentral.
GAGGAAUUUUCGGCAAUGGGGGCAACCCUGACCGAGCAACGCCGCGUGCAGGACGAAGGUUUUCGGAUCGUAAACUGCUUUUCUCGGGGACGAGUACGGACGGUACCCGAGGAAGAAGCCCCGGCUAACUACGUGCCAGCAGCCGCGGUAAUACGUAGGGGGCGAGCGUUGUCCGGAGUUACUGGGCGUAAAGCGCACGCAGGCGGUCGUGUCAGUUUGGGGUUACAGCUCCCGGCUCAACCGGGAGAGCGCCUCGAAGACGGCAGGACUUGAGGGCCAAAGAGGGACACAGAAUUCCGGGUGUAGUGGUGAAAUGCGUAGAUAUCCGGAGGAAUACCAAAGGCGAAGGCAGUGUCCUGGUUGGUACCUGACGCUCAGGUGCGAAAGCUAGGGGAGCGAAC